ACUCUUUAAAUCAUGCGAAAAAAGAGCUAUAUCUAAGAUGUCAAGGAUACUUGACUAUAGUGAUAAACGUCCUUCGGAAUAGGCGUUUCGGACCCGGGGGCGGAACCCGGCACCUCCACCAGAUUUAUUAUGGGGGUGAAUGAGGAUCGACGAGCGUAAUAAAGGUUAGAUUUUCACUCGGCAUUGUACCACCGUUAUCGGGCUAAAUACAUAAAUGCAAAAGAUAUGAAUGCAUUUGGUCGUAUGGCUGCUAACUUAAAUGCUAGCAACCACAAUGGUGCUGAGGCAGCUGUAGUAUUAGCCGCUUAAUCCCAUAAACGAUCGCGGCUUGAGGGGCGCCGGGCAACAGAAGCCCCUCAUU
This 361-nucleotide transfer-messenger RNA is filed under the name Alphaproteobacteria bacterium GWA2_41_27. It matches the Rfam family "Alphaproteobacteria transfer-messenger RNA". From Rfam's summary of the family: Bacterial tmRNA, also known as 10Sa RNA or SsrA, is named for its dual tRNA and mRNA-like properties. Its role is to liberate the mRNA from a stalled ribosome. RNAcentral also lists the same sequence under 8 other names. Lineage: Bacteria; Pseudomonadati; Pseudomonadota; Alphaproteobacteria. The record is from RNAcentral.